This 501-nucleotide ribosomal RNA is filed under the name uncultured bacterium. RNAcentral describes it as "partial 16S ribosomal RNA". It matches the Rfam family "Bacterial small subunit ribosomal RNA", at positions 30 to 523 of the family's 1533-position model. The record is from RNAcentral.
AUUGAACGCUGGCGGCAGGCUUAACACAUGCAAGUCGAGCGGGGGAAGGUAGCUUGCUACUGGACCUAGCGGCGGACGGGUGAGUAAUGCUUAGGAAUCUGCCUAUUAGUGGGGGACAACAUCUCGAAAGGGAUGCUAAUACCGCAUACGUCCUACGGGAGAAAGCAGGGGAUCUUCGGACCUUGCGCUAAUAGAUGAGCCUAAGUCGGAUUGGCUAGUUGGUGGGGUAAAGGCCUACCAAGGCGACGAUCUGUAGCGGGUCUGAGAGGAUGAUCCGACACACUGGGACUGAGCCACGGCCCAGACUCCUACGGGAGGCAGCAGUGGGGAAUAUUGGACAAUGGGGGGAACCCUGAUCCAGCCAUGCCGCGUGUGUGAAGAAGGCCUUAUGGUUGUAAAGCACUUUAAGCGAGGAGGAGGCUACUUUAGUUAAUACCUAGAGAUAGUGGACGUUACUCGCAGAAUAAGCACCGGCUAACUCUGUGCCAGCCGCCGCCGUAA